AUAGCGUAUAUUAAAGUUGUUGCAGUUAAAAAGCUCGUAGUUGGAUUUCAAGGGUCGCAUCGUGGCCUCCACGUAUGCCCCUACCAGUCUUUGACUGUUACUGUGAGAAAAUUAGAGUGUUUCAAGCAGGCGAUUGCAGGAAUACAUUAGCAUGGAAUAACGAAUGUGUCUAGAAUCUUGGUUAAUUCUAGAUUACGAUUAAUAGGGACAGUUGGGGGCAUUAGUAUUUAAUUGUCAGAGGUGAAAUUCUUGGAUUUGUUAAAGACUAACGUAUG
This 275-nucleotide ribosomal RNA is filed under the name uncultured eukaryote. RNAcentral describes it as "partial 18S ribosomal RNA". It matches the Rfam family "Eukaryotic small subunit ribosomal RNA", at positions 594 to 945 of the family's 1831-position model. The record is from RNAcentral.